RNAcentral lists this ribosomal RNA (253 nucleotides) under uncultured bacterium. RNAcentral's name for it is "partial 16S ribosomal RNA". It matches the Rfam family "Bacterial small subunit ribosomal RNA", at positions 524 to 776 of the family's 1533-position model. The record is from RNAcentral.
UACGUAGGGUGUAAGCGUUGUCCGGAAUUAUUGGGCGUAAAGAGCUCGUAGGCGGUUUGUCGCGUUGUUCGUGAAAACUCACAGCUCAACUGUGGGCGUGCGGGCGAUACGGGCAGACUGGAGUACUGCAGGGGAGACUGGAAUUCCUGGUGUAGCGGUGAAAUGCGUAGAUAUCUGGAGGAACACCGGUGGCGAAGGCGGCAUCCUGGACCGGCAUUGACGCUGAGGAGCGAAAGCCAGGGGAGCAAACGGG